Molecule: small nucleolar RNA, 135 nt
Organism: Equus asinus (donkey)
Lineage: Eukaryota; Metazoa; Chordata; Mammalia; Perissodactyla; Equidae
Gene: SNORA70
Rfam family: Small nucleolar RNA SNORA70
About the family: snoRNA U70 seems to be exclusive to mammals and is a member of the H/ACA class of snoRNA which contain H (ANANNA) and ACA box motifs.
Source: Ensembl
CUGCAGCCAAUUAAGCUGACCGUGUCCUUUUCCCCAUGGGGGUCUGGUGUGCAGUGGCUGCAAACAGCAGCCUCCCUGGCAGUGUAUGCAGCCUGUUGCUUGUAUGGGUUUCCCUAAGGGACCUUGGAGACAGCC